RNAcentral lists this ribosomal RNA (848 nucleotides) under uncultured organism. RNAcentral's name for it is "bacterial SSU rRNA". It matches the Rfam family "Bacterial small subunit ribosomal RNA", at positions 527 to 1382 of the family's 1533-position model. The record is from RNAcentral.
GGAGGGUGCAAGCGUUAUCCGGAUUUAUUGGGUUUAAAGGGUCCGUAGGCGGAUCAUUAAGUCAGUGGUGAAAUCCGACAGCUCAACUGUCGAACUGCCAUUGAUACUGGUGAUCUUGAGUACGGUUGAAGUAGGCGGAAUAUGACAUGUAGCGGUGAAAUGCUUAGAUAUGUCAUGGAACACCGAUUGCGAAGGCAGCCUACUAAGCCGUUACUGACGCUGAGGGACGAAAGUGUGGGGAGCGAACAGGAUUAGAUACCCUGGUAGUCCACACCGUAAACGAUGAUUACUCGGUAUUGGCUUUAUUGUCAGUGCCCAAGCGAAAGUGAUAAGUAAUCCACCUGGGGAGUACGGCCGCAAGGUUGAAACUCAAAGGAAUUGACGGGGGCCCGCACAAGCGGUGGAGCAUGUGGUUUAAUUCGAUGAUACGCGAGGAACCUUACCAGGGCUUAAAUGUAGAACGACCGGGGUGGAAACACCUCCUUUUUCGAACGGUCUACAAGGUGCUGCAUGGUUGUCGUCAGCUCGUGCUGUGAAGUGUCGGGUUAAGUCCCAUAACGAGCGCAACCCCUAUUUCUAGUUGCCAGCGGUUCGGCCGGGGACUCUAGAGAAACUGCCAGCGUAAGCUGUGAGGAAGGUGGGGACGACGUCAAAUCAUCACGGCCCUUACGUCCUGGGCCACACACGUGCUACAAUGGUGGGGACAACGAGUUGCCAACCCGCGAGGGUGAGCUAAUCUCUCAAACCCCAUCUCAGUUCGGAUCGGAGUCUGCAACUCGACUCCGUGAAGUUGGAAUCGCUAGUAAUCGCGCAUCAGCCAUGGCGCGGUGAAUACGUUCCCGGGCCUU